RNAcentral lists this ribosomal RNA (449 nucleotides) under uncultured bacterium. RNAcentral describes it as "partial 16S ribosomal RNA". It matches the Rfam family "Bacterial small subunit ribosomal RNA", at positions 330 to 794 of the family's 1533-position model. The record is from RNAcentral.
GCCAGACUCCUACGGGAGGCAGCAGUGGGGAAUAUUGGGCAAUGGGCGCAAGCUUGACCCAGCGACGCCGCGUGAAUGAAGAAGGCUUUCGGGAUGUAAACUUCUUUUAGGAGGGAAGAGCAGAGGACGGUACCUCUUGAAUAAGCCACGGCUAACUACGUGCCAGCAGCCGCGGUAAUACGUAGGUGGCAAGCGUUGUCCGGAUUUACUGGGUGUAAAGGGCGUGCAGCCGGGAAGACAAGUCAGAUGUGAAAUGCCGCGGCUCAACCGCUGAACUGCAUUUGAAACUGUUGUUCUUGAGUACCGGAGAGGUCAGCGGAAUUCCUUGUGUAGCGGUGAAAUGCGUAGAUAUAAGGAAGAACACCAGUGGCGAAGGCGGAUGACUGGACGGCAACUGACGGUGAGGCGCGAAAGCGUGGGGAGCAAACAGGAUUAGAUACCCGAGUACU